AAGUCGUAACAAGGUUUCCGUAGGUGAACCUGCGGAAGGAUAAUACGUUCUAAUCAACGUAAUACUCAAUCGUGAACUGUUCCCUUGUGAGUCAAUUCAUUUGUGAGUUUUGUGUGGUCGAAUAAACAAGCAUGGAAAUUCAUGAACGGCCCCUUCGCCGAGGAUUAAUAAAUCGGGGAGACCGAUUCGACUCAUUCACAAGGCGUUUUUUUUCUUUGCUUUAACCUUUUUCACCCCAAGUAACAAUUUAUGAACUAAAUCUGUUGAACAACUUGCUUAACUUCAAACAAAAUAUCGAAACUUAAGAACAACUCUUAACAACGGAUAUCUUGGUUCUC
RNAcentral lists this unclassified non-coding RNA (338 nucleotides) under fungal sp. RNAcentral describes it as "partial internal transcribed spacer region". The stretch from base 1 to 46 matches the Rfam family "Eukaryotic small subunit ribosomal RNA", at positions 1786 to 1831 of the family's 1831-position model. The record is from RNAcentral. Lineage: Eukaryota; Fungi.